RNAcentral lists this ribosomal RNA (848 nucleotides) under uncultured crenarchaeote. RNAcentral describes it as "bacterial SSU rRNA". It matches the Rfam family "Archaeal small subunit ribosomal RNA", at positions 39 to 893 of the family's 1478-position model. Lineage: Archaea; Thermoproteati; Thermoproteota. The record is from RNAcentral.
UGAUACUAAGCCAUGCGAGUCAUUGUAGCAAUACAAGGCAGACGGCUCAGUAACGCGUAGUCAAUCUACCCUAUGGACGGGAAUAACCUCGGGAAACUGAGAAUAAUGCCCGAUAGAACAUUAUGCCUGGAAUGGUUUAUGUUUCAAAUGAUUUAUCGCCAUAGGAUGGGACUGCGGCCUAUCAGUUUGUUGGUGAGGUAAUGGCCCACCAAGACUAUUACAGGUACGGGCUCUGAGAGGAGUGGCCCGGAGAUGGGUACUGAGACACGGACCCAGGCCCUAUGGGGCGCAGCAGGCGAGAAAACUUUGCAAUGUGCGAAAGCACGACAAGGUUAAUCCGAGUGGUUUCUGCUAAAGAAACCUUUUGUCAGUCCUAGAAACACUAACGAAUAAGGGGUGGGCAAGUUCUGGUGUCAGCCGCCGCGGUAAAGCCAGCACCUCAAGUGGUCAGGAUGAUUAUUGGGCCUAAAGCAUCCGUAGCUCGUUUUGUAAGUUUUCGGUUAAAUCCAUACGCUUAACGUAUGGGCUGCCGGGAAUACUGCAUAACUAGGAAGUGGGAGAGGUAGACGGUACUCGGUAGGAAGGGGUAAAAUCCUUUGAUCUAUUGAUGACCACCUGUGGCGAAGGCGGUCUACCAGAACACGUUCGACGGUGAGGGAUGAAAGCUGGGGGAGCAAACCGGAUUAGAUACCCGGGUAGUCCCAGCUGUAAACUAUGCAAACUCAGUGGUGCAUUGGCUUGUGGCCAAUGCAGUGCUGCAAGGAAGCCGUUAAGUUUGCCGCCUGGGAAGUACGUACGCAAGUAUGAAACUUAAAGGAAUUGGCGGGGGAGCACCACAAGGGGUGAAG